RNAcentral lists this ribosomal RNA (584 nucleotides) under uncultured bacterium. RNAcentral's name for it is "partial 16S ribosomal RNA". It matches the Rfam family "Bacterial small subunit ribosomal RNA", at positions 355 to 1375 of the family's 1533-position model. The record is from RNAcentral.
UGGGGAAUUUUGGACAAUGGGCGAAAGCCUGAUCCAGCAAUGCCGCGUGUGUGAAGAAGGCCUUCGGGUUGUAAAGCACUUUUGUCCGGAAAGAAAUCCUUGGCUCUAAUACAGUCGGGGGAUGACGGUACCGGAAGAAUAAGCACCGGCUAACUACGUGCCAGCAGCCGCGGUAAUACGUAGGGUGCAAGCGUUAAUCGGAAUUACUGGGCGUAAAGCGUGCGCAGGCGGUUUGCUAAGACCGAUGUGAAAUCCCCGGGCUCAACCUGGGAACUGCAUUGGCGACUGGCAGGCUAGAGUAUGGCAGAGGGGGGUAGAAUUCCACGUGUAGCAGUGAAAUGCGUAGAGAUGUGGAGGAAUACCGAUGGCGAAGGCAGCCCCCUGGGCCAAUACUGACGCUCAUGCACGAAAGCGUGGGGAGCAAACAGGAUUAGAUACCCUGGUAGUCCACGCCCUAAACGAUGUCAACUAGUUGUUGGGAUUCAUUUCCUUAGUAACGUAGCUAACGCGUGAAGUUGACCGCCUGGGGAGUACGGUCGCAAGAUUAAAACUCAAAUGAAUUGACGGGGUCAUAGCUGUUUCCU